GCCCGAUUUAGACAGCAGCUUCAGUCUCACCCUCGUUUGGAGAAGUGUAUUGUCUGGGGGAAUGCUGCGUGACCCGAACAGCCAGCACAGAAUGUCUAGGUUCUUUCAUCCCGUGUGGCCGGGCUGCAGCUGGGUCACCUUUGCUAUGUAUGUCCAGGGAGAGUGUGACUUCCACUGGUUACCCAGCACAAGGUCUAUGAAAUGAGACUUCACAACACAAGUGGCUGGACAAUGUUUGAACAGAAAUACCCCAAACUAAACCCCAGAAUGAAAGCAAGGCAACUCCCCUUGGCCCUGCCCAUCCUUCCCCCUGCCCUCCUGCCCACUCUACCUACAAGAAGACGGAAGGAGACAGUUUUUGAAAGCACCCAGCUGUAAUUGGUGAGCACGCUUGUCCAGGGAGCCAUCCCAUGGCACAGAAUGGGCUUCAGCUCCUCUCCAUCUGGCACAGGACGGCUAUGAGAGCAGAGACUGCCACCCACCAAUCACACCUUCCCACCUCUAGAGUAGACAAAGAUGGCUCUUUAGGUCAUUUUAUUUUAUUUCUUUGUUGUUUCCCCCCCCCUUUUUUUUUCUCCUCCCCCCGUUUUUUUUUUUUUUUUACAAAAAUUUCUACAUCUAAAUCACUUUGCUAUAGAAACAUUAUUUUCUUUCCUUUUUUUUUUUUUUUUUUUUUUUACAUUAGUUAAAGCAGAACCUGCUUUUGUGAAAAAAGACAAGGAUCAAGGUCUUAUUUCAUGCAGAAAAUGCAAAUUAAAGAACAUAAAAAUG
Gallus gallus (chicken) is the source of this 771-nucleotide long non-coding RNA. The record is from Ensembl. Lineage: Eukaryota; Metazoa; Chordata; Aves; Galliformes; Phasianidae.